GGCUUUCUUGACCUUCUCGUCCGAUGCCAUUGGGUCAACAACGACGGUUUCGUCUAUAUCUACAAGAAAUUUCAAUUUGUCACUCAUGCACAGCUCGUCGCCUUCUUGUGUUCCAUGCUCCUCUAUGCCGAUGUCCAAUUCGUAGUUGCUAUCCUCAUCUGGUGUGGCUGCAUAAAUUCCCCCACCUCCAAAUUAAUUGAUGCAGCGUAGCAAACAACUCGAACGGUUGCACAUCCAACUUCGUUUAAGAACUCAUUGUAGUAAACUAAGAAGGAU
Molecule: long non-coding RNA, 276 nt
Filed under: Physcomitrium patens
Lineage: Eukaryota; Viridiplantae; Streptophyta; Bryopsida; Funariales; Funariaceae
Description: long non-coding RNA (PPAT_LNC010922)
Source: RNAcentral